UUUAGUUUGCCUAUGUGAUGUUUGUUGUAAGUGCUGUAACUAGCAUGACAUGUAAGAUGGAUACUCAAUAUGUUGUUGUGUCAUCCAUCCCUGGUCAUGAAAGAACAUGCAUAGAUUGUCCCCAAUGUGGACCUGGCAAAGAACCUGGAAUCAAAUGUGGUACAUCCAUUGCCAUUCAUGAAAAGACUGGGGAUUGUCAACAUUGUCAAGGCAAUUUUUUUUCAACAAGAAAAGAUGUGCUUCCAUGUCAGCCUUGUACAACCUCAUAUUUGGUAAAUCAAAAUAAAACAAAAUGCAUUGCUGUGCAUUCAGGUCAUCAUUCCAAUGAUCAGCCUAAGUUGGUCAUUUGGAUUGUUGUUGGUGUUGCUGGUUUUUUGCUUGUGUUGGUGUUGAUCUUUGUAUGCAAAAGAAGAUUGCUAAACUAUUUAACCAAGUCAUCAAUGGCAAACCCACUAACACAGCUCCUUAUCAAGAGGUUUCAUCUGAUACUGGACAGGAAAAACUCAAAGUGAAAGUUGAAGAAACAUCUGCUGGCCGAGUUGACAGUCACCCUCUGCUUUCUGGCCAAGGCUGUUCUCAUAUUAAUAACAGUCAUUCAAGUCCUCAAGUUGUUUAGAUACCCAACAGACUAUGUUGAAGAUAGAACAAUGACAACAUAUUUAGAUAUGGCUAGAAUAUCAUUAAUUGUAGUGAACGUUUUCUAUGUUUGACAAGUUUUAAUUAAUGAUUAGCUUGAUUGUUCAUUUGAUGAUUAUGCAGUUAUGGUAAAGUGUAAAAUAUUGUAAUUGGAAUAAUGCAAAAUCAAUUUUUCAAUCAUCGUACAACAGUAAAUCAUGUUUGAUUGAAAUAAAUUUACUGUUUAGUAACAGAAGUCAAAAUAACAUAACAUAUUGUUAUAUGGUCAAUUUUCUUUUGUCUUGUCAAUUUAGCAGGGGGUGUAAUAAAUAGACUAACUAAAAGAAGCGACAAAACAUUUGUAAACAUGGCGUAGUUAUGGACCUUCCUAUUGUACUUUAUUAUUAUCACGAUGAGUAAAAAGGGAUUAAAUUGCUUUACCGUCUGUCUUGCUCAUUUAUCGUCAAAUGUAUUCGACAAUGUGAGUUCAACGCUUUUGAUUUUAAUCAUCAAUAUUAUACUUAGACUGUUUGAUACCAUGUCUAUGGACACAAGACAUACCAUGUUAUAAUGUCUAUUUUUCAUCAUCAUGUGUAUUUAAGACAAUGAUUUGUUGCUUGCAACCAAUUCAAACAUUCAAUGACUUAAAUACACAUGAUAAUCUUAACCAAUUUAGAUGAAAUAUUGUCGCACCAUGUCCAUGGUCACCUAAAAGAUGGAAGAAAAAAACACCUGCCAAUGUUGAGGUAACAACGCAAUUUUUUAAAUAUGCCAAAAGAAACUUUUUAUUUCUAUGUAUAAAAAUAGGAAAGCCAAAAACAUCAUGUGUAAAGUUAAGCCAGUGUUUGUUUUGUUUAACGUCUAUUUUGUUUGUUGUCUCCUUGUCACUCAUUGGUUAAAGACUUAAAUUCAUCAUGACUUUAUUGAUGAUACACAUUUGGCAAUAUUGGAAGCUAACUAAGAUUGGGUGGGCUAAAAAUUCAAACUCUUGUCUUUAAUUUGAGCCAGAUUCUAGAGAUGGGCAAUUUUGUCCCCAAGAUUAGUCAAUACACAAGUUUUAGUACUCAUGACAUAUUACCCAGAAAACAAAAAAGUAACACAAAUUAAGACCUUUGGGUACAUUUUCACUCUUGGGCCAAUCAAUGGCUUAAUAUUUUCCUGCUAUCCACCUAGAGAUCUUGGCAAAAACUGAUUUACUCUGCAGUCUUUGAGGAUUCAAGGCACAGUUGAGAUAAACAGAACAGUCUAAUGCAUUGGUUAUUCCAUUCGCAACCUUGCUAUUACAAAGUAAAUGCAUGGUUUAAAGAAUAUUAGUGAUUAAAUGUUCUCUUAAUCUUCCAAAGGUUUUCAGGACAUUUUGUUACUAAUAUCCCUAAAGGCAUGUGUUUACUUACAUACAAUGCAACUUUUAAUAAUUUGAAUGAAAUUCCCAUGUUGGGUAUGAUUUCUCAAAUUUUAAAAUAAGUAACAAAAAAUGUGUUGUGUGUUAUUGCACAGUUGAUAUGAACAAAACUUCAAUAAAGCGAAAAGUUUUGAAGACAAAAAACACAUAUUUUCAGUCAAAAGUUGCACUAUGUAAAACUAAUAUCUUUGAUUUUUGAUUUUGGAAACAUUACUACAGAUCCCUAUUCCAAUUGUCUACAUUUGGAUAUUAUUUACAUCUAUAUUUAAAGUAUCAAAUUAAAUUUGUUCGUUGGUACAUUAAUGUAAUCACCCUAGCAUUUUCCAGCAUUAAAUUAUCCUUCUCAAAAAAAAUUUUGAAUUCACAUCAGACCACAUUUCGCAUUUCAACCAGAAAUUCUGCCUUUAUUUUUAAUGCCUACGAGAAUAUCUCAUACCAAGCAAAUCACCAACUUCGAUCAUCGCAGUAACCGCCUGGAAAUAUUGCAAAAAAAACUUCACCAUCCUGAUUUUAUGUGAGAAGAAUAUGUUAAAAUGAUAGUAAUGCUCACAAAACAAGUUUUAAGAUUCACAUCAAAGAUUGAUUUCACCAAUAAAAUAGUUUUAAUACACUAGACUCUAUCUUACCUUGUCCAAUUGAUCCCUUGUAUGAGCGGCAGAUAUACAAAACCUUGCACGAGACUCAAGAAUACUAGUAGCAGGAAAUCCUACGACAACACUUGCAAUUCCUCGUUUCAACAACUCACGACUAAGGGCACUACACAAGAAAGAUAUCAUGGAGACAGAACAUAACAAACAGACAAGGAAAUUGACAAAGCAACCUUAUUUUUCCAGGAAGGAAAAUCAAAACAGGAACAAUUACUGAGUCGUCGUGUCCAUACACAAUGAAACCAGCUUUUUUUAAGGAUUGUCGGAAAUACCUGAAAUUUUAAAAAGUUUAUAUAAAAAGAUGAUAAAGAUGUUGAAGUUUGGGGCUAUUUAUGACUUUAUAUUUCUUAUUCUAUCACAGUUCGCAGCUCAAAAACGCACUAGAUUUACACAAUCAUAUUAUCAUAGUGAUAUAAUAACAUAACAAUAUCUACAUUAAGAUGAUUACCAUUCAGGGUUAAAGAACACUUCUGUAAGAUUUGAGGUAGUAACAAAAUAUUGAGCAAAUACUGGGCUAAUGCCUUUAUUGCCAUUAAUCAUCCUCACAUGCAUAAAAAUUACAAAAGCAAUUUCACAAAGUUGUGGAUUUUAUUGGAAUUGAACCUCCCUGUUUCUCAGAGUGCACAAUAAAGUGGGCUACCAUUAAACUAUAACAAAACACAAACAUACUUGCUAUUCUCAGAUAAGGUGUGAAGUCUUUUUUGCCCUAAAGAAAAAGUGUUUAAAGUUUAAGUUAUAAAUUAUAUUAAUUGUUUUAUAUUGGACAAACAUAAAUUGUUUUAUAUUGGACAAACUGACCAUAGAUGAUCUAGCUUACCUUCGCCUGUCCCAUCUUCACCCAUGAUGAUCUUCAUUGAUGAGAUUAUUUGCUGUGCCACUGGAGGUGACAUUGAACAUGCAUAAACUGCACUAUGAGAUGAUGAUCGAAUAUGACGAAUGAUUUCCUAGAAAUUGAUAAGUUAUUGGAAAUAUAAUUAUAAGAAAAUUCUACCUCGGAGGCAGCAAUGUAGCCACCUGCUGAUCCAAAACUCUUUGUAAAUGUACCCAUCAUGAUAUCAAUAUCCUUUGGAUGAAUGCCAUAAUAAUCAGCUACACCUCUACCAUGUGGACCCAUUGCACCAAUACUAUGAGCCUCGUCAAGAUAAAGAUAUGCCUUGUACUUCUUCUUAAGCUCUAUCACUUCUGGAAGUUUCACUAUUGAGCCCUCCAUGCUAUUAGUGACAUAAUUUUCCCAUAGUUUAAGCAAUUCAAUUUACAACAUUUUUUAAUGACUAUCUAUAAUAUUAAAUUUCUCAUUAUCAGAAUAAAUUAAUUAUUGCUGAA
This is a long non-coding RNA of Xenia sp. Carnegie-2017, 3987 nucleotides long. RefSeq lists it as uncharacterized. The record is from RefSeq and is a predicted model, not a curated record. The transcript has 5 exons. NCBI's taxonomy places the organism in Eukaryota, Metazoa, Cnidaria, Anthozoa, Malacalcyonacea, Xeniidae.